RNAcentral lists this long non-coding RNA (687 nucleotides) under Ictidomys tridecemlineatus (thirteen-lined ground squirrel). RNAcentral's name for it is "lncRNA (ENSSTOG00000033883.1)". The record is from RNAcentral. Lineage: Eukaryota; Metazoa; Chordata; Mammalia; Rodentia; Sciuridae.
UGCAGGUUGAGAGGCUGAAAAAUCCAAAACAGUUUUCUUUGGGUUGUGCGAGCUGUGUUUGACAAGGUAACCCGUGGCAGGAGGGAAAACUGUGAUUGAAGAGUUCACCGUUGGACCAGUAGGUACACUCAUCCAGUAUGCAGGGGCCUGGGACAACAGUUGGGUAGGCAGAGAUGGGCUGAUCCCCGGAGCGCUUGCCAGGCCCAAACAGGGAUGAUUCAGUCCCUUGUGAGAGACUGUGAACGACAGGUGUCAGCAUUAACUGUGCAGAUUCACAGCUGGGGGCAGAGGAUGGAGGAGGAGGACGCAGCUGUGUUCGCAGCUCUCAAACUUCUCAGCUUCCUGCACCAAGUCAAGUUGUAGAAGAUGAACCUCAGAGCUCCCAGUAUGUUGGGAACUGGACACAAAGGACACCGAAUUUGUUCCAUUUGACAUGUUUUCUCAUGGAAAUAAUGUUGAGAGACUGGGUUCAGCCCAACAGUCACGACAGGAACAUAUUGACUAGAAAGUCUUAGAGUCUUAAAAAUCUAAUCUGUAUAUUUAUCCUAUUACCAACAAGUUGAUAUCUCUCUUUUUUUGUUUGUUUAUUUGCCUUUUUGUUGUUGUUUUUGAGUGUUGGGAAUUCACACAGUUAAUAAAUUGAGAAACUCUCAUAUCUAUACAUUAGACCUCAUUGUUCUUGAUUUC